CCUGCUAUACGACUAGCAGUAGCCUAGGAGGACAUGCGUCACUGGCAACGGUGGGGUUUGAAGCUCCUCUGACAAUGUGGCCCCCGGAGGUUUCGGGCAGAUUAACUCCGUGGGGAGGUGAUCUGGAUACUCGUAGCAGCACAACGGGUUGAGGAG
Molecule: non-coding RNA, 156 nt
Filed under: Paraburkholderia hospita
Lineage: Bacteria; Pseudomonadati; Pseudomonadota; Betaproteobacteria; Burkholderiales; Burkholderiaceae
Source: RNAcentral